This 73-nucleotide transfer RNA is filed under the name Camelus bactrianus (Bactrian camel). It matches the Rfam family "tRNA". From Rfam's summary of the family: Transfer RNA (tRNA) molecules are approximately 80 nucleotides in length. Their secondary structure includes four short double-helical elements and three loops (D, anti-codon, and T loops). Further hydrogen bonds mediate the characteristic L-shaped molecular structure. tRNAs have two regions of fundamental functional importance: the anti-codon, which is responsible for specific mRNA codon recognition, and the 3' end, to which the tRNAs corresponding amino acid is attached (by aminoacyl-tRNA synthetases). tRNAs cope with the degeneracy of the genetic code in two manners: having more than one tRNA (with a specific anti-codon) for a particular amino acid; and 'wobble' base-pairing, i.e. permitting non-standard base-pairing at the 3rd anti-codon position. The record is from Rfam by way of RNAcentral. RNAcentral also lists the same sequence under 1 other name. Lineage: Eukaryota; Metazoa; Chordata; Mammalia; Artiodactyla; Camelidae.
GAGGGUAUAGCUCAAGUGGUAGAGCGCAUGCUCAGCAAGCGUGAGGUCCUGGGUUCCAUCCCCAGAACCUUGG